UACGAAGGGUGCAAGCGUUACUCGGAAUUACUGGGCGUAAAGCGUGCGUAGGUGGUUCGUUAAGUCUGAUGUGAAAGCCCUGGGCUCAACCUGGGAAUGACAUUGGAUACUGGCGACCUAGAGUGCGGUAGAGGGUAGCGGAAUUCCCGGUGUAGCAGUGAAAUGCGUAGAUAUCGGGAGGAACAUCCGUGGCGAAGGCGGCUACCUGGACCAGCACUGACACUGAGGCACGAAAGCGUGGGGAGCAAACAGG
This 253-nucleotide ribosomal RNA is filed under the name uncultured bacterium. RNAcentral describes it as "partial 16S ribosomal RNA". It matches the Rfam family "Bacterial small subunit ribosomal RNA", at positions 524 to 776 of the family's 1533-position model. The record is from RNAcentral.